CAAAGGUAGCGUAAUCACUUGUCUUAUAAAUAAAGACCUGUAUGAACGGCUAAAUGAAUAUUUAACUGUCUCCUUUAACUAAUCAGUGAAACUGAUCUUCCAGUACAAAAGCUGAAAUAAAGACAUAAGACGAGAAGACCCUGUGGAGCUUUAAAUUUUUAUCAAAAUAUACAUGCCCUAUAUUUAUGAUUAAUUAUUUUGAGUUGGGGCGACUUUGGAGUAAAACUCAACCUCCAAGAAAAGGUAAAACCUAAACAAGGCCUACCAGCCAACCACAUAGACCCAGUACUACUGAUCAACGAACCAAGUUACCCCAGGGAUAACAGCGCUAUCUUCUUCAAGAGUUCAUAUCGACAAGAAGGUUUACGACCUCGAUGUUGGAUCAGGACACCCAAAUGGUGCAGCCGCUAUUAAAGGUUCGUUUGUUCAACGAUUAACAGU
RNAcentral lists this ribosomal RNA (441 nucleotides) under Anolis cusuco. RNAcentral describes it as "partial 16S ribosomal RNA". It matches the Rfam family "Bacterial large subunit ribosomal RNA", at positions 1951 to 2594 of the family's 2925-position model. Lineage: Eukaryota; Metazoa; Chordata; Lepidosauria; Squamata; Anolidae. The record is from RNAcentral.